This 466-nucleotide ribosomal RNA is filed under the name uncultured bacterium. RNAcentral's name for it is "partial 16S ribosomal RNA". It matches the Rfam family "Bacterial small subunit ribosomal RNA", at positions 28 to 507 of the family's 1533-position model. The record is from RNAcentral.
GAUGAACGCUGGCGGCGUGCUUAACACAUGCAAGUCGAACGGAAAGGCUCCUGCUUGCAGGGGUACUCGAGUGGCGAACGGGUGAGUAACACGUGGGUGAUCUGCCCUGCACUUCGGGAUAAGCCUGGGAAACUGGGUCUAAUACCGGAUAGGACCAUCGUUUAGUGUCGGUGGUGGAAAGUGUUUUCGGUGUGGGAUGAGCUCGCGGCCUAUCAGCUUGUUGGUGGGGUAAUGGCCUACCAAGGCGUCGACGGGUAGCCGGCCUGAGAGGGUGUACGGCCACAUUGGGACUGAGAUACGGCCCAGACUCCUACGGGAGGCAGCAGUGGGGAAUAUUGCACAAUGGGCGCAAGCCUGAUGCAGCGACGCCGCGUGGGGGAUGACGGCCUUCGGGUUGUAAACUCCUUUCGCCAGGGACGAAGCGAAAGUGACGGUACCUGGAUAAGAAGCACCGGCUAACUACGUG